RNAcentral lists this ribosomal RNA (162 nucleotides) under Staphylococcus aureus. RNAcentral's name for it is "partial 16S ribosomal RNA". It matches the Rfam family "Bacterial small subunit ribosomal RNA", at positions 1 to 157 of the family's 1533-position model. The record is from RNAcentral. Lineage: Bacteria; Bacillati; Bacillota; Bacilli; Caryophanales; Staphylococcaceae.
UUUAUGGAGAGUUUGAUCCUGGCUCAGGAUGAACGCUGGCGGCGUGCCUAAUACAUGCAAGUCGAGCGAACGGACGAGAAGCUUACUUCUCUGAUGUUAGCGGCGGACGGGUGAGUAACACGUGGAUAACCUACCUAUAAGACUGGGAUAACUUCGGGAAAC